UACGGGGGGGGCAAGCGUUGUUCGGAUUUACUGUGCGUAAAGGGCGCGUAGGCGGCCACUGCAAGUCAGUUGUGAAAUCUCCGGGCUUAACUCGGAAAGGUCAACUGAUACUGCAGGGCUAGAGUGCAGAAGGGGCAACUGGAAUUCUCGGUGUAGCGGUGAAAUGCGUAGAUAUCGAGAGGAACACCUGCGGCGAAGGCGGGUUGCUGGGCUGACACUGACGCUGAAGCGCGAAAGCCAGGGGAGCGAACGGG
Molecule: ribosomal RNA, 254 nt
Filed under: uncultured bacterium
Lineage: Bacteria
Description: partial 16S ribosomal RNA
Rfam family: Bacterial small subunit ribosomal RNA
Source: RNAcentral